UGUAUAAAAUUUUCAAAAAUUCAUAUAAAUAUGAAUAAUAUAUAUUUUUUGCCUUGCGGACUUCAUUUAAAUUAAGAAAACUUACAAAAGACACUCCCUUUCCAUUUUUUGUUAUUCUUUGCUAUGAGUUGGAGAAAGAAUAAACAGGAAACUGUUUGCAGAUUUUGCUUUUCUUUUUCUGUACAGUAUGGGGGCUUGGUUUUUUUUAUUCCAUUUUUGUUAUUUAUGAUCUCAAGUUUCUUCAUUUGUCCAAAAAGCUC
Molecule: long non-coding RNA, 260 nt
Filed under: Gossypium raimondii (Peruvian cotton)
Lineage: Eukaryota; Viridiplantae; Streptophyta; Magnoliopsida; Malvales; Malvaceae
Description: long non-coding RNA (GRAI_LNC002811)
Source: RNAcentral